RNAcentral lists this ribosomal RNA (458 nucleotides) under uncultured bacterium. RNAcentral's name for it is "partial 16S ribosomal RNA". It matches the Rfam family "Bacterial small subunit ribosomal RNA", at positions 338 to 795 of the family's 1533-position model. The record is from RNAcentral.
CCUACGGGUGGCAGCAGUGAGGAAUAUUGGUCAAUGGCCGGAAGGCUGAACCAGCCAUGCCGCGUGAAGGUCAGUGCCCUAUGGGCGUUAAACUUCUUUUGUGCGGGAGCAAUAAUGGUCACGUGUGGCAAGACGAGAGUACCGUACGAAUAAGAAUAGGCAAAGUCCGUGCCAGCAGCCGCGGUAAUACGGGGGAUGCAGGCGUUAUCCGGAUUUAUGGGGGUAAAGGGGGGCGUGGGCGGCCUGCUAGGUCUGGAGUGAAGUGUACCGGCUCAACCGGUACAGGCUCUGGAAACUGGCGGGCUAGAGAGCAGGAGAGGGCGGUGGAACUCCAUGUGUAGCGGUAAAAUGCGUAGAUAUAUGGAAGAACACCAGUGGCGAAGGCGGCCGCCUGGCCUGUUACUGUCGCUGAGGCACGAAAGCGUGGGGAGCAAAUAGGAUUAGAUACCCGGGUAGUC